UGGGGAAUCUUGGACAAUGGGCGCAAGCCUGAUCCAGCCAUGCCGCGUGAGUGACGAAGGCCUUAGGGUUGUAAAACUCUUUCGUCGGGGACGAUAAUGACGGUACCCGAAGAAGAAGCUCCGGCUAACUUCGUGCCAGCAGCCGCGGUAAUACGAAGGGAGCUAGCGUUGUUCGGAAUCACUGGGCGUAAAGCGCACGUAGGCGGAUAGUUAAGUCAGGGGUGAAAUCCUGGGGCUCAACCCCAGAACUGCCUUUGAUACUGGCUGUCUCGAGGUCGAGAGAGGUUGGUGGAAUUCCUAGUGUAGAGGUGAAAUUCGUAGAUAUUAGGAAGAACACCAGUGGCGAAGGCGGCCAACUGGCUCGAUACUGACGCUGAGGUGCGAAAGCGUGGGGAGCAAACAGGAUUAGAUACCCACGUAGUCCCUGAGCGGGCUGGCAAGGCGCAU
This 447-nucleotide ribosomal RNA is filed under the name uncultured bacterium. RNAcentral's name for it is "bacterial SSU rRNA". It matches the Rfam family "Bacterial small subunit ribosomal RNA", at positions 355 to 825 of the family's 1533-position model. The record is from RNAcentral.